Molecule: ribosomal RNA, 374 nt
Filed under: uncultured bacterium
Lineage: Bacteria
Description: bacterial SSU rRNA
Rfam family: Bacterial small subunit ribosomal RNA
Source: RNAcentral
GACGAACCGUCCAAACGUUAUUCGGAAUCACUGGGCUUACAGAGUUCGUAGGCGGUCCCAAAAGUUAGGUUUGAAAUCCCUCGGCUCAACCGAGGAACUGCGCUUAAAACUGUGGGACUCGAGGGAGAUAGAGGAAAGCGGAACUGAUGGUGGAGCGGUGAAAUGCGUUGAUAUCAUCAGGAACACCGGUGGCGAAGGCGGCUUUCUGGGUCUUACCUGACGCUGAGGAACGAAAGCUAGGGGAGCGAACGGGAUUAGAUACCCCGGUAGUCCUAACCGUAAACGAUGAGCACUAGGUCGUGGGCCUCCACAGGCCCUCGGCCGUAGCGAAAGUGUUAAGUGCUCCGCCUGGGGAGUAUGGUCGCAAGGCUGAA